CUUUUUCACUUGUUUUUAUAUGUAUGUAUGUAUGUACAUAUAUUUACAAAUGCUGGUAUGUGUGCGUAUGUGUGUUGCAUAGAUUGAAGAGAAAAUGUAUUUGGCGUGUCUGCAUAAUAAACGAAUAUAGUCGUAUAACACAUUAAUUGUGUAUUAAUUAUAGUUUGAUGGAACAUCAAUGGCCUAUUAAUGUAUAUAAAUCUAUUCAUCAGCUCGUUUGGCUAAAAAUCCUCGUCGCUAUUGUGCUCCGGCUUGAUCGCCGUUUUCGGGCGCAGUGGCAGCUCGCCCGUUAGUUUUGAUAUGCUAAUAUCAUCGAUAGAGUUAAGAUCAACUAGACUUACAAUCAUCAUCACCCUUGCCAGGGCCCAUACCCACGUUGAAAUCACUAUCGGAACUGCUAAAGCUACUGUCGUUAUCUCCAAAGCGAAUGAGCAUGUUGCUACUUGGUCCAUCUCGUCCAAUGCGUGUGGGGCGUGCGCCGCUUGAGGUAGCUGCAGAUACCGUGGCUGCCGCUCUUCGAAUACAUCCAGUGGUAGGACGUUUGCGAGAGGUGGCCGUCCCAGGUCUCUUAUUGGGUGCCGCCGUUGACGAGCCGACAACCGACCCGGGAUGGACACCUCUGUCUGCUGUGGUGCUCUGUAGCAUUAAAUCUUCGUCGCGUAUGUCGGGUAUUUCUGAGUCCAGACCGAAGGCCGCCUCUCGUGACAGUCCGUUGCCCAUAUGAACACCAUCUUCGUCUUCAUCGUCAUCGUCCUUGAUAAGGCUCUCUGGUAUAAAUGACAUCGAGCUCUCUGUCGGCUUCUGAAGUAUUGGCGAUGAAAUGGGUGAACCACGUCGCUUGAUGCGUGCUUUCAGCUCCCUCUCGCAUUCCUCAAACUCUGACAUGUGAGCGGGCCGAAUUUUUUGGAGUGCCUCUAGUCUCUGCUUGGUUCUCUCCAGCUCUGCU
Molecule: long non-coding RNA, 946 nt
Organism: Drosophila mojavensis
Lineage: Eukaryota; Metazoa; Arthropoda; Insecta; Diptera; Drosophilidae
Exons: 4
Source: RefSeq, a predicted model, not a curated record